UUAGACCUCAGAUCAGGCAAGACUACCCGCUGAACUCAA
This 39-nucleotide ribosomal RNA is filed under the name Trichoplax sp. H6. RNAcentral's name for it is "partial 28S ribosomal RNA". The record is from RNAcentral. Lineage: Eukaryota; Metazoa; Placozoa; Uniplacotomia; Trichoplacea; Trichoplacidae.